Non-coding RNA from Zootermopsis nevadensis, 2951 nucleotides. The record is from RefSeq and is a predicted model, not a curated record. NCBI's taxonomy places the organism in Eukaryota, Metazoa, Arthropoda, Insecta, Blattodea, Termopsidae.
UUAGUAUUCGCUAUGUCCGACAGAUGUCGCCAGCGUGUAAGAACACGUAUCAGGGUAUUGAUUGGUAUAAAACAUUGUUUUUGGGCUUUGAACUGUCUGUUUGCCUUGGAUCUAAUUAAACAUUUUAUGUAUGAUGUACACAAUUAAUAACAAUAAUUGACACCAUCUGCAAAACUGAGUGGAUACAGUCAAAAAAAAAGAAAAAUGUGUUGCAUAACCUCAAAAAAGUCUGUAUAAUUCAAAGAAAGACACCCAAGUAUUUCAGUAAAGUUUGCAGUAUAUUCUUGUAUAUGUGUAUUGUUAAACAGGACAUGAGUUUAUGAAACGAUAAGUAUGUGUACAACACUUAGAAUGAGAAUUGUAUGUAUGGUGCAUAGACACUGAAAGUAUUACUUCUAAUUGAACUUGUUGGUGAUAUGACAAUAGAGUACAAACAGUACAUAAUGACAGACUAACUCGAUGACAAUAGUUCCGAGGCUCAUUGAAAAUUUUCCUUUUUUUAAGUUAUACUUUUCUGCAUCAAGCCUUGAGAAUUGUAAAUGCUAGCUGCAAAUGCAGAUCUACAAGUCAUCAACUUCAAAUAUCUCAUAAACUGUUAAAUUACUGCAUCAGCAACUUACACAUCAUUAGAUUACAUGCAUUCAUUUUUAUUUAAUUGCAUGGAUCUCUAAGGUAGUUGGAUGGUAGUAGGAUGUGUUAUAAGUCUGAAUAAUACAUGUGCAAUUUGUACAGUUGUAAAGAUAUCACAUAGUAUAAGGUUUUACAUAAAAUACAAAUAAAUCCACCCAUUAUAUUCUAUUGAUACAUUAUACUACCCAUUAUAAUAUAUUUUGACCAGAAAACUUUAAGGAAUUAUUUGUAAUGUAUUAAUAACUGUACAUAGUUAUGCACUUGCAAUACCAGGAACUCAAACAUACCAUGUUUUUAACCCAUUAGACUCCAGAGAGGUCACUACAGCUGUUUCUGUUCUGUCCACAUCGUUUAUAACACCAAAUAACAGGUGUGAGAAGUUAAACAGCACAGACAUAUAUUGCCUAUGAUUAUGAUGGUUUGUUGUUCAAGAAAAACAAGAAUGUUCUGUGAAAAAUUUAUUCAGCCUCAUUGACCACUUUCUGUUUUUGUUUUUGUUUUCACCUCAGAAAGAAGAUUCUUUAUGGAUUGAAGAUAAUGUAAUGCUCCAAGCAUCAAGAUAGGUCAAACAUAUAAAAUGCUACCAGAAUUAUUAUCCUGAAUUGGGAAGGAACAUAUAAGUAGUGUUGUUAUUGAUCAUGUACUAACCACAAAUGCAAAGGUACUUGGACGGGAACCUACGUGUGCUUCAGAGUACUAACAUCAGAGAGCGCUAAUAGCCAGAGUAGCUGAUGCGCCUAUCAACCCAUAACCUAUAGCAGAGUUUGUCUUGUGAUGCUGAUUGACGGGCAAGGUGCAUUGCAGCUGGCAUUCAGAGUUAAAGAGCUACGUGAGAUGCUGGCCCUUCCGGACUGUCGCAUUGUGUAACCUGCCACAUUUUGAAGCUGUCCUUCCUCUCGUGCCAAGAAUUGAUUCAUUCAGCAAAAGAACACGUGGUUAGAGACUGCCAAACCCAUCAACUAAAAUAAUGAUCUAGCAUGAGUAUGUCACAAGUAUCAAAGAAAGAGAAGCCAUGUCUUUGGAAUGAUUCUCUUCUCACUGGGAAAUGGAGCUGAGUUUGGAUUUGCUGUUUAGAAUCUUGUCAGGUACGCUGCAGUUAUCACGUUGACUCUUUUACUUUUUCUCGUACAUUUUACUUGAAUGAAAUGCAUGACAUCUGUAUAUAUAUUUGUUAAAUUUAUGAAUAUUUAUUAUUGCCAUUUCCAUGGUACAGUGACCAUUUGUUGUUAAGGGACUUUUCACAGUGUUAUAACUAUUGGCUCAAUAAUUAUGUUUAAAGAGGUCAACUGUGCUCUUGUGGUUAGUAAUUGCUAUUUGCUUGCGGACACAUGUCCCUAAAAGUGCUCUAAUACACCGAACUACAAAUGAGUUGUUAAAACCUCUGCAGAAAAAUUUUAUGCUUUAAGUGCACCUAGGUUUAUAACUGUCUGACCUGAAUGGCCUAAUGUGCUUUAGUGAAUUUUGUGACAGAGAAGUGGGUUGCAUUUCUUUAGCAGUUAAAAAUAGACAACAAAUUAAAAAAUAUAUAUAUUUUUUAAAUUAUUAUUUGUGCAUUACAUACUUUACUAUAUGUUGUUAAUAUUUGUUUCCAAGUGAAGAGAUGUAAAAGUUAAGUUUGUAAGUUCCUGACAGACUUUACAGGAACAGUACUAUCAGCAAAUUUAAUUUUGUUAAGAUAUAAGGUUCUCAAUGGCUGUGAGUAUGAUGAUGACUGUGUUUCGAGUUAUAGAGUUAUGCAGACUGGUAGAAGCUUACCAACAUGUCAGAGAUCCUGGCUGUCCCCAUCAACAGUGUGAUGACUCUGUGGUGCUACAAGCCACAAGACGCUGCCUUUGAAUUUUGUUUAUCACAGAAGAGACCUUUCGAAUCAGAAGCAAAAACCUCUCUGCAGUCAUCACAUGUACACCCUGCUUUGUCAGUAGAUUGUUUCGAAAUGUUAAAUUUUAUCAAACGUCAGGCUUGAAGGCCAUGUUCUUGUCUGAACAUAUGAAGGAAUGAAGUAGACAGUAGAAGCUUCAAUGUUUCAAGUUUUAAUGCGAAAAUUAAUUUAGUCUUACUGCAACAGAUUGAAAAUCAGUAACAAUAUUUCUAUUUGCCUGCACUCUACAAGUGUGUACUUGCCAAAGCAAAUACUUCAUUGCUGUGGUAAUGUACUUGGGCCCCCAGUAAUUACUGAGGAUUUGGGGACUCAGAUGUGGAAUGUCAAGUAACUGAACAUUAAAUUCAUAAAAAUCAAACACUGGAAUGGCAGUUAUUAAAAUAAAAUAUUAUCACUAAGUUAGGCAUUGAACUCCAUCAUGUCAGAUACACCAUUAAUGGGA